UUCAAAUUGCGCAGGCCUACACAUGCAGUCGAGCGGUAGCACAGAGAGCUUGCUCUCGGGUGACGAGCGGCGGACGGGUGAGUAAUGUCUGGGAAACUGCCUGAUGGAGGGGGAUAACUACUGGAAACGGUAGCUAAUACCGCAUAACGUCGCAAGACCAAAGUGGGGGACCUUCGGGCCUCAUGCCAUCAGAUGUGCCCAGAUGGGAUUAGCUGGUAGGUGGGGUAACGGCUCACCUAGGCGACGAUCCCUAGCUGGUCUGAGAGGAUGACCAGCCACACUGGAACUGAGACACGGUCCAGACUCCUACGGGAGGCAGCAGUGGGGAAUAUUGCACAAUGGGCGCAAGCCUGAUGCAGCCAUGCCGCGUGUGUGAAGAAGGCCUUCGGGUUGUAAAGCACUUUCAGCGGGGAGGAAGGCGGUGAGGUUAAUAACCUUAUCGAUUGACGUUACCCGCAGAAGAAGCACCGGCUAACUCCGUGCCAGCAGCCGCGGUAAUACGGAGGGUGCAAGCGUUAAUCGGAAUUACUGGGCGUAAAGCGCACGCAGGCGGUCUGUCAAGUCGGAUGUGAAAUCCCCGGGCUCAACCUGGGAACUGCAUUCGAAACUGGCAGGCUAGAGUCUUGUAGAGGGGGGUAGAAUUCCAGGUGUAGCGGUGAAAUGCGUAGAGAUCUGGAGGAAUACCGGUGGCGAAGGCGGCCCCCUGGACAAAGACUGACGCUCAGGUGCGAAAGCGUGGGGGAGCAAACAGGAUUAGAUACCCUGGUAGUCCACGCUGUAAACGAUGUCGAUUUGGAGGUUGUGCCCUUGAGGCGUGGCUUCCGGAGCUAACGCGUUAAAUCGACCGCCUGGGGAGUACGGCCGCAAGGUUAAAACUCAAAUGAAUUGACGGGGGCCCGCACAAGCGGUGGAGCAUGUGGUUUAAUUCGAUGCAACGCGAAGAACCUUACCUGGUCUUGACAUCCACAGAACUUUCCAGAGAUGGAUUGGUGCCUUCGGGAACUGUGAGACAGGUGCUGCAUGGCUGUCGUCAGCUCGUGUUGUGAAAUGUUGGGUUAAGUCCCGCAACGAGCGCAACCCUUAUCCUUUGUUGCCAGCGGUUAGGCCGGGAACUCAAAGGAGACUGCCAGUGAUAAACUGGAGGAAGGUGGGGAUGACGUCAAGUCAUCAUGGCCCUUACGACCAGGGCUACACACGUGCUACAAUGGCAUAUACAAAGAGAAGCGACCUCGCGAGAGCAAGCGGACCUCAUAAAGUAUGUCGUAGUCCGGAUUGGAGUCUGCAACUCGACUCCAUGAAGUCGGAAUCGCUAGUAAUCGUAGAUCAGAAUGCUACGGUGAAUACGUUCCCGGGCCUUGUACACACCGCCCGUCACACCAUGGGAGUGGGUUGCAAAAGAAGUAGGUAGCUUAACCUUCGGGAGGGCGCUACCACUUUUAUCAGGGCCU
This 1448-nucleotide ribosomal RNA is filed under the name Klebsiella variicola. RNAcentral describes it as "bacterial SSU rRNA". It matches the Rfam family "Bacterial small subunit ribosomal RNA". The record is from RNAcentral. Lineage: Bacteria; Pseudomonadati; Pseudomonadota; Gammaproteobacteria; Enterobacterales; Enterobacteriaceae.